UAUUGUCAUUAGUGAUUAUCUCAAUUUCGGCUAAAAGAAUUGACAAAAUCCUWCACACUGUGCCUUUAAAGCAUCAAAUGCUUAUUCAUCUUUGAUGCUCUCAGGGGCCACAUAAAAUGCUGCGGAGGGCCACAUUUGGCCCGUGGACCUUGAGUUUGACACGUGCAUUAGAUUGUCUCUAACCAGACAAACCUGCAUCCCUGUUCGCUCUCUGUCGGCUCAGUUCAAGAGUUUUUGUUUGUUUCGUCUCCACCUUUGUGUCGUGUUUUUAACUCCCCCUGACAUGUUUCAGACUCUGUGUUGAACGCYCGCAUGCAUGUGAACAGGAUGUCUGGUCAAACUAAUAUGUUGUUGCUGUUGAUCCAAAAUCAUUUUCAGGCAUCAUCCAGUCAGGCUGCAUCUGUAAACAACCCUAAAAUGAAGCACAGAGAUCGUUUUACAUUCUGUAAUGAAAAGAACAAAAAAAAAAACAAGAAAAUGUGUAUCAUGCAGCAAUGAUUCAAGUGUUAUGUUUUGCCCUCGUGUAAACUUUUGUCUCUUUUCUUUCACAUUCUCUCUGUCCUCCCGUCCUUCUCUUCAUCCUGUCUGUCCUCCUGCCUCACUCACCAGCUCUGGUCUGAGCGAUGGAUGGAGAGUGUUUUGUCCAACGUAGACCAGGCGGAUGAGUCCUGACUCUGGACAUGUCGAUGAAGACGACGAUGGAGUUGAAGAUGAAGACGGAGUCGUAUUUCUUGAAAACAUGAAGCACACUUAAAGGGAUAGUUCAGAUCUUCUGAAGUGGGGAUAUAUGAAAAUGUAAUAUUUUGAGUGUUGUAGGUAGCUCUUUGAAAAAUAGAGUUUAAUCCGGACCAGACGGAUGGGCUAAUGGCUAAUGUCAAAACCUCUUAAACAGCUCUAAACUCAAAAACUUAGAGUUAAACAUCUGAGCUGGUUCAGUGAGCAAUCUACAACAGGUAAGAUAUUUAUUAUUCAGAACCCCAUUUCAAUAGAUCUAAUCUGUCACUUUAUUUCUGAAUGUUUUUUUUUUUGUUUUUACCUCUAUGAGUGUCUAUUUUUGUGAUCUGGUUUUGAUUCACUUGUAUUUAUUUUAGGUUGAGCAUCAUGAUCUGCACACACUGCGUUCCUGUGAAUGUUGUUUUUUUUAAUUUAUUUKGUAGGUGUUUAAUUUUUUUGCUGUGUAGAAGUCUGUUUUCAAAAAGAAACGUCCUAAUGUAGGAUUUUAAUGAAGGGCAAUGCUGUAAUGCAAAGGGCUUAGUGUUCAUGAAGCGCGUCACUUUAGUCUGAGCCAAGAAACAAAAUGCACUAAACACAGACAGUUGAGUAAUUUAUAUAUGUAUAUUAUAUUUUAUUCAUUUCAAUUAAAAACAGAAAUUUCAAUAAAAAAAGGAAACAAAUCUCAUAAAAUGAAAGGAGUUUUUCAUUUUCAUCGGUAUUUUAUAUGACGUGCACUGAAAGGAAAAACUAGAAGAGAUUUGGAGAAUCUCAGGUUGAACAGCAGCACAUAAAACAGAUCAGGUAGGUGUAGUUAAUCUACAGAAACACAAGUAUUUAAAGUAUAUGUGUAAUGUACACAGCUGGCUGACAUGAUGAUGAUGAUAAACUAUGCAUUCACAAAACUAAAUUUGACCCAGUCACUGUCUUUUAUCUGAAUCAGAGCUCGAUUUCUACGUCCUCCUUCGAUUAUUUCCUACAAACUGCCUUUGCCUCUACUUUUGUAUCAUAAAGAACUUAUUUGAACUGAAUGUUGUUUUACUUCCCAACUUAGAGAAUUUGUGUCACAUUUGUAAAUAUUGUAUUUUAAAAAUAAAGAAAUUCUGCCAAUGAAAA
This is a long non-coding RNA of Austrofundulus limnaeus, 1827 nucleotides long. RefSeq lists it as uncharacterized. The record is from RefSeq and is a predicted model, not a curated record. The transcript has 2 exons. NCBI's taxonomy places the organism in Eukaryota, Metazoa, Chordata, Actinopteri, Cyprinodontiformes, Rivulidae.